This 88-nucleotide transfer RNA is filed under the name Actinoplanes derwentensis. Its description in RNAcentral is "tRNA-Arg". The record is from RNAcentral. Lineage: Bacteria; Bacillati; Actinomycetota; Actinomycetes; Micromonosporales; Micromonosporaceae.
GCUUGCGGUCGAUGACGCCGGUGCGGCGUGGCCGGUGCGGGCGGCCCAUCAGGCCCGGUUCGGCGGGUUCGCGGCCCAGCGCAAGCGC